Molecule: long non-coding RNA, 385 nt
Organism: Branchiostoma floridae (Florida lancelet)
Lineage: Eukaryota; Metazoa; Chordata; Leptocardii; Amphioxiformes; Branchiostomatidae
Exons: 3
Source: RefSeq, a predicted model, not a curated record
UAAUCACGACAAUGUGUACGAAGUUGUCGGUGUCAUCACGCAGGGGGCUUACAACCUCGACCGCUGGGUGACGUCAUACACGCUGGCGUUCUCUGUGAACGGUGAAACAUGGACACCGUACAAUUCAAGCACCGGGGACGUAAAGAUUUUCAAAGGAAACAGUGACAGCCAUCGCUAUGCUCGCAACAUGUUGGACAAACCGGUUUUAGCGUCAUACACACGGUUCUAUCCGCGCAGCGUUCAGAAUGCACUGAGGGUCGAGGUUCUUGUCAAAGACGGUUCCGGGUGUGCAUCUGACGAGGCCUUCUGUAACGGGACGUGCCGAGCACGGGACACUUUCUGUCGGGCUUUUGACGGAUGUGUACCGCAGCCCUAUAACCAUGGA